AGUCUGAUGGAUCUGGGUGACUGGGCAAGUUCUUUAGCUUGUCAAACCUUCAUUUCUCUAAUUUAUAACAUAAGGACAGUACCUUCUUCCUGUCAAGGUUGAGGCAAGCAUUAGUGAGAAACGUCUCAAGGCCUGGUUCACAUUAAAGGUCAAAAAAGAGAGAAAACAUCACUGUUCUCUUCAGCAGAACUUUUGUCAGUGUGAUCGAGAAUUGUCUCAAGUGACAAGUGAGCUGACCAGGGAACCCUGGGUGGCAGGUACUAUUGGCACCAUUUUCCAGAUAAAGAAAAUGAAGUUCUAAGCAGUCAAAUGACAUGUCAAGAUCACCCAACUGUAAAGGAUGACAGAGGGCACAGAAGCCACCAGCAGAUUCUUUGGAAGGAAGUAACAGGAGUGGAACUUCAUUUUCCCAUGGAUUGUAAAGGUCUUGCUAUGUCACCCAGGCUGGAGUGCAGUUGCGCCAUC
This 465-nucleotide long non-coding RNA is filed under the name Homo sapiens (human). RNAcentral describes it as "HSALNT0350862". The record is from RNAcentral. Lineage: Eukaryota; Metazoa; Chordata; Mammalia; Primates; Hominidae.